This 405-nucleotide ribosomal RNA is filed under the name uncultured bacterium. Its description in RNAcentral is "partial 16S ribosomal RNA". It matches the Rfam family "Bacterial small subunit ribosomal RNA", at positions 28 to 526 of the family's 1533-position model. The record is from RNAcentral.
GAUGAACGCUGGCGGCGUGCCUAAUACAUGCAAGUCGAGCGAAGCGGGGACGGGUGAGUAACACGUGGAUAACCUCCUAUAAGACUGGGAAAACUUCGGGAAACCGGAGCCAAACCGGAUACGUAUAGAUGGAACCGCGCUGCAUUAGCUAGUUGGUAAGGUAACGGCUUACCAAGGCAACGACCCAUAGCAGACCUGAGAGGGUGACCGGCCACACUGGAACUGAGCCACGGUCCAGACUCCUACGGGAGGCAGCAGUGGGGACUCUUCCGCAAUGGGCGCAAGCCUGACGGAGCAACGCCGCGUGUGUGAUGAAGCUCUUCGGAUCGUAAAACUCUGUUAUUAGGGAAGCGGUACCUAAUCAGAAAGCCACGGCUAACUACGUGCCAGCAGCCGCGGUAAUAC